GGCUGGUGCUGGUGCUGCCGCCUGGCCUCCCCGCCGGACGGAGCGCAGGGCGGCGGGUGCGCUCGCAGCAGGCCGGGCGGCCGAUCCAUGUCGGUGAAAGGAAGUGGCCCCCUUUCCAAUCCGACUUCAUCCCCUGUACCCAGCCGCCGCACCGACAUCUCCCCGCCGCACGAAAUCCGAAGGCAUCUCUUGAUCAGACGCCAAAGCGGCCCACUUGCCUUGCCACAUGGAGACAAGCCCUCAUCCCUUCUUUUUUCAAUUAUUAUUUGUUGGCUUAAAUUUCUUCCUCCCUUUAUUUUGUUCUGUUGCAGGCAAAUAAACUUUCCCUAAGAGG
Malaclemys terrapin pileata is the source of this 334-nucleotide long non-coding RNA. RefSeq lists it as uncharacterized. NCBI's taxonomy places the organism in Eukaryota, Metazoa, Chordata, Testudines, Emydidae. The record is from RefSeq and is a predicted model, not a curated record. The transcript has 2 exons.